UCGUGUCACAAUAGUAAUUCAACCUAGCAUGAGAGGAAUCGUUGAUUCGCACAAUUGGUCAUCGCGCUUGGUUGAAAAGCUAGUGAUACGAAGCUACCGUACGCUGGAUUAUGGCUGAACGCCUCUAAGUCAUAGGUGGCCCGAUUGCUGACCCAUAGUAAGGGCACAUGUUGUGACACCCCUAAAGUGACCAUAGUCGGAAAGUGGUUUUGGGACCACAAAACCGAGUCAUAAAAAUAAUUAACCAUUAUAUUUGAUGCUUAUUAUAUGUAUAUAGGCAUGUGUGAAAAUUUCAUGUUUGAAUUUUGUUAAUUGUAAGUGAAUUUUGCUAAAUAGGA
Non-coding RNA from Gossypium arboreum, 338 nucleotides. NCBI's taxonomy places the organism in Eukaryota, Viridiplantae, Streptophyta, Magnoliopsida, Malvales, Malvaceae. The record is from Rfam.